UGGGGAAUAUUGCACAAUGGGGGAAACCCUGAUGCAGCGACGCCGCGUGAGCGAUGAAGUAUUUCGGUAUGUAAAGCUCUAUCAGCAGGGAAGAAAAUGUCGGUACCUGACUAAGAAGCCCCGGCUAACUACGUGCCAGCAGCCGCGGUAAUACGUAGGGGGCAAGCGUUAUCCGGAUUUACUGGGUGUAAAGGGAGCGUAGACGGCAUGGCAAGCCAGAUGUGAAAUACCGGGGCUCAACCCCGGGACUGCAUUUGGAACUGUUAAGCUGGAGUGUCGGAGAGGCAGGCGGAAUUCCUAGCGUAGCGGUGAAAUGCGUAGAUAUUAGGAGGAACACCAGUGGCGAAGGCGGCCUGCUGGACGAUGACUGACGUUGAGGCUCGAAAGCGUGGGGAGCAAACAGG
Molecule: ribosomal RNA, 404 nt
Filed under: uncultured bacterium
Lineage: Bacteria
Description: bacterial SSU rRNA
Rfam family: Bacterial small subunit ribosomal RNA
Source: RNAcentral